CGGGACUUGGGGCUGGGGCCUGGGGGCUGGGACGGGCAAGAAGAGAGUCAAAACUCCAGAGGCAAUUCCCUUUGAGAUGCUGAGUGUUGGCGUUCCUGCCUGGAGAUUGGUCUCUGGCUCUGAGUGCCAGCAUUCUUAGUACGUACUCCUGUCACGCUGUCUUUCAGAGUGCAGGUGGCAGGGCCAAGGCAGUGGGAGGAGACAGAAGUCGGCUGAUUCCCUUCCAGGAGGGGGUCACUCUAUCUGCUCAACUUCCAGGUCCUCGAACCGGGAGCUUCACACAGACUGCCGUCAGGAUUCGGGUGGAUCUGUGCCCGCCAUUACUCAAGCUGCACACUUGCUCUACUGGGGACCAGGCUCCAGCCACACGAGGAAGAAGGGUCCAACCAGCCCAGCCCAGGCCCUGCCCUGCCUGCAGGCUGUGCUG
Molecule: long non-coding RNA, 427 nt
Organism: Mastomys coucha (southern multimammate mouse)
Lineage: Eukaryota; Metazoa; Chordata; Mammalia; Rodentia; Muridae
Exons: 3
Source: RefSeq, a predicted model, not a curated record